UAUUAGGUUGGUGCAAGGGUAAUUGCGGUUUUUGCCAUUAAAAGUAUUGGCAAAAACCACAAUUACUUUUGCACUAACCUAAUA
RNAcentral lists this microRNA precursor (84 nucleotides) under Nomascus leucogenys (northern white-cheeked gibbon). Its description in RNAcentral is "mir-548 microRNA precursor family". It matches the Rfam family "mir-548 microRNA precursor family". The record is from Rfam by way of RNAcentral. Lineage: Eukaryota; Metazoa; Chordata; Mammalia; Primates; Hylobatidae.